ACAAGGAUGGCACCUCUGAUCUGGGCUGUGGGAUGAGGACAUGAAGGGGCAGGGACUUCAGUCUCACGGACCCCACAAAUUCAAGGACUGCUCCAGAGCACAAGGACCUGGCACCACAGAAGUGUAGCACUGGGGUCACCUGCAGAGUUCCAAUGUCAGCGGGAUGCUGAGAAGAGGGGCAUCCAGGGCCACACUAUGGCAGGUGGGGAAGUAUCAG
RNAcentral lists this long non-coding RNA (217 nucleotides) under Cavia porcellus (domestic guinea pig). RNAcentral's name for it is "lncRNA (ENSCPOG00000038515.1)". Lineage: Eukaryota; Metazoa; Chordata; Mammalia; Rodentia; Caviidae. The record is from RNAcentral.